AAAAUGGAGAGUUUGAUCCUGGCUCAGAGUGAACGCUGGCGGCGUGCCUAAUACAUGCAAGUCGAACGGACAAGUAAGAGCUUGCUCUUAUAAGUUAGUGGCGCACGGGUGAGUAAUGUAUAGUUAAUCUGCCCUAUGCUGGAGGACAACAGUUAGAAAUGACUGCUAAUACUCCAUACUCCUUCUUAACACAAGUUAAGUUGGGAAAG
RNAcentral lists this ribosomal RNA (209 nucleotides) under Campylobacter hyointestinalis subsp. lawsonii. RNAcentral's name for it is "partial 16S ribosomal RNA". It matches the Rfam family "Bacterial small subunit ribosomal RNA", at positions 1 to 206 of the family's 1533-position model. Lineage: Bacteria; Pseudomonadati; Campylobacterota; Epsilonproteobacteria; Campylobacterales; Campylobacteraceae. The record is from RNAcentral.